RNAcentral lists this ribosomal RNA (361 nucleotides) under uncultured Chloroflexota bacterium. RNAcentral describes it as "bacterial SSU rRNA". It matches the Rfam family "Bacterial small subunit ribosomal RNA", at positions 960 to 1338 of the family's 1533-position model. Lineage: Bacteria; Bacillati; Chloroflexota. The record is from RNAcentral.
AACGAAGAACCUUACCCAGGCUUGACAUGCAGCUGCAAGGGGGGGAAACGUCGUUGCCUUCGAGGGURCUGCACAGGUGCUGCAUGGUUGUCGUCAGCUCGUGUCGUGAGAUGUUGGGUUAAGUCCCGCAACGAGCGCAACCCCUGCUGGUAGUUACAUGUGUCUACCAGGACGGUCCCCUUGAUGGGGGAAGGAAGGCGGGGAUGACGUCAAAUCAGCAUGGCCCUUACGCCUGGGGCGACACACACGUACAAUGGCCGGGACAGUGCGUCGCGAACCCGCAAGGGGAGCAAAUCGUCCAAACCCGGUCUCAGUGCAGAUCGGGGGCUGCAACUCGCCCCCGUGAAGGCGGAGUUGCUAG